RNAcentral lists this transfer RNA (74 nucleotides) under Thermoplasmata archaeon. Its description in RNAcentral is "tRNA-Val". It matches the Rfam family "tRNA". From Rfam's summary of the family: Transfer RNA (tRNA) molecules are approximately 80 nucleotides in length. Their secondary structure includes four short double-helical elements and three loops (D, anti-codon, and T loops). Further hydrogen bonds mediate the characteristic L-shaped molecular structure. tRNAs have two regions of fundamental functional importance: the anti-codon, which is responsible for specific mRNA codon recognition, and the 3' end, to which the tRNAs corresponding amino acid is attached (by aminoacyl-tRNA synthetases). tRNAs cope with the degeneracy of the genetic code in two manners: having more than one tRNA (with a specific anti-codon) for a particular amino acid; and 'wobble' base-pairing, i.e. permitting non-standard base-pairing at the 3rd anti-codon position. RNAcentral also lists the same sequence under 1 other name. Lineage: Archaea; Methanobacteriati; Thermoplasmatota; Thermoplasmata. The record is from RNAcentral.
GGGCUCAUGGUCUAGGUGGUUAUGACGCCGCCCUCACACGGCGGAGGUCGCCGGUUCGAAUCCGGCUGAGCCCA